Molecule: ribosomal RNA, 898 nt
Filed under: uncultured delta proteobacterium
Lineage: Bacteria; Deltaproteobacteria
Description: bacterial SSU rRNA
Rfam family: Bacterial small subunit ribosomal RNA
Source: RNAcentral
CGGGCGGGGUGCUACCAUGCAGUCGACGUGAAGUUGGCUUCGGCCGAUAAGUAAGGUGGCGCACGGGUGAGUAACGCGUGGAUAAUCUACCCUUCAGUUGGGAAUAACUCAUCGAAAGGUGAGCUAAUACCGAAUAAUACUGUUUGACCUUGGUCAGGCAGUCAAAGAUAGCCUCUGCUUGCAAGCUUUCGCUGAAUGAUGAGUCCGCGUACCAUUAGCUAGUUGGUGGGGUAAUGGCCUACCAAGGCGACGAUGGUUAGCUGGUCUAAGAGGAUGAUCAGCCACACUGGAACUGAGACACGGUCCAGACUCCUACGGGAGGCAGCAGUGAGGAAUCUUGCGCAAUGGGGGAAACCCUGACGCAGCAACGCCGCGUGAGUGAGGAAGGUCUUCGGAUCGUAAAGCUCUGUCGGGUGGAAAGAAGUGUAUGGGGUUAAUAGCCUUCAUACUUGACGGUACCACCAAAGGAAGCACCGGCUAACUCCGUGCCAGCAGCCGCGGUAAUACGGGGGGUGCAAGCGUUGUUCGGAAUUAUUGGGCGUAAAGAGCGUGUAGGCGGCUUGUCAAGUCAGAUGUGAAAGCCCUGGGCUUAACCCAGGAAGUGCAUUUGAAACUGGCAGGCUUGAGUAGGGGAGAGGGAAGUGGAAUUCCUGGUGUAGAGGUGAAAUUCGUAGAUAUCAGGAGGAACACCGGUGGCGAAGGCGACUUCCUGGCCCUAUACUGACGCUGAGACGCGAGAGCGUGGGUAGCAAACAGGAUUAGAUACCCUGGUAGUCCACGCCGUAAACGAUGUUCACUAGGUGUUGGGGGUAUUGACCCUCUCAGUGCCGGAGCUAACGCAUUAAGUGAACCGCCUGGGGAGUACGGUCGCAAGACUAAAACUCAAAGGAAUUGACGG